Poeciliopsis prolifica (blackstripe livebearer) is the source of this 3301-nucleotide long non-coding RNA. RefSeq lists it as uncharacterized. The transcript is spliced from 4 exons. The record is from RefSeq and is a predicted model, not a curated record. NCBI's taxonomy places the organism in Eukaryota, Metazoa, Chordata, Actinopteri, Cyprinodontiformes, Poeciliidae.
AUCAGCAUCGACGGACCGAGGAGUUCGGUUUAAUUCUUACAGAGGAAACUCCUAAAAAUUAAGUAACUAAACUAACUAAUCGUCGAAGGUUAAUAAAAAUGUGGAGGAUUGUCUUGUUGUUAUCGGUGCUGAUCGGGGCUUUGUGUCCUGCUGCCGAUGGAAGGCCUCUGCUGUCUGUGAACAACACUCAGCAACAAUACCAGGCAGAGGAACACUCAAACGUCACACUUUCGUUUCCAGUUAACUCUACCUCUGACUCACUGUACAUCGAUCUGAUGGUCAUAGAGUCACAGAGGAGCAUUUAUCUGUAUGACAGCAAAAAUCUGCCUGAUCCGUAUAUAAAUGAUCAGUUCAAAGGUCGACUCCAGUGCGACCUCCAGCUGGACAGGAAUGGGUGGAUUGAGUGUUUCCUGUCUGACCUGAGGCUGAGCGACGCAGGAUGGUAUCAGUUGAUUGUUGUCAGUAAAGGAAGAAGUAACCUCACAAAAAUGGAGCUUGUAGUUGGAGCUGUCAUGCAUCAAACUCAAGAAGGACCUCCAAAGCCAACAGAACGGGGAUGGAUUGGGAUGUGUAUGUCACUUGGUUUACUUGUGGUAAUAGGCAUCAUCAUUACAUUUUGCAACUUUACCCGGUUGAUCAGUUGUCUGAGAGACAACUUAUCUCACAAUGUCUCCUCUGAACUAGGAGAACAUUUCUAAAACAAAAAAAGAAAAGCUAAGCAUUCAAGCAGUGAGCUUCCUGGAAGCUCAGCACCCAAUGUAGCUUCACACCACCUAACCACUUCAGCUGCACCUACCUCACUCAAUGUUCAAACAGCUGUAGUGGUGGAAGCUCUGUUUGAUGUAUUUUUGGUUUACGGACCGUGUUUCUCUCUAUGGUUUUAUUUAUAAACCGUUUUUCCUCCCCCAUUUUCAUGGGGUUUAAAGCACUCUGUGUCAGUAGUUUGACUGAUUCCCAGCACCUACAAAUAGCAUAACGCUAAAGAGACUUAGUCAAAAAAUAAGCUCAAUCUCUGGCUUCUAAUAGCAUUACAGAGAACGCAUUAUUUAUUCCAUGAGAUAAAAAAAUGCAACCUGCACAAACAUUCAUGUGAUGUCCAACGACAGUAUUUCAUGGAGCUACAGUUCUACUGACACUCAGAAAGUACUUUCACAAUGUUUUACACACUCAACCAAGAAAACACUAUCGACCUCCAAACUGUGGUCGUUUUGCACUCUGUUCUUGGGAAAAAACAGUGUUCACGUUAUUAUGCCUAAGUAGUGAUGGAAAUACACAUUUUCGUGAUUUCUUAACUGCGACAUUUCCAGUGAAUGUGAAAGAAAAAAAAAAGUCAGACCUACAAAUGAUGCAUGAAUGCAUAAUGUUGGUCAAAAAGAGAUGCAGUCAUGGUAAAAAGAAAGUACACCUGCUUUCAGUUUUAGGGCUUGAUGUACUUGAUGUACAUCAAGUAUCGUUCUUGAUCAAGUAUCAAGAACGAUCUUUUAUAUAAAUGUAUAUAUCUAACUGCAACUGUGCGCAAACACAACAGGGUUCAUAUAUCAAUAUUCAGUAAACAAACAUAUUGCAAACAUGGAAAAAUAUUAGCAGUGACCUCAGAAAAGAAAACAUUGCUGUUCUGCAAUCUAGACAAAAAUUUCCACUUCCAAGCAGUUUAAAUCCCAUUGUUCCACAGUUGGAAACAAAUAUUAACAACAUGAAACAUUUAACCAACUUAUGUCAAAUUCAAGACAAAACUUAAAGAUAACAGGUGUGUGCUUAAAUAUUAUCAAUCAAAUCAAAGUAGUUUUUAUAUGCAUAGCGUCAAAUUACAUCAAUGUCAAAGGAUUUUAAGAAGUACACUUUGAAUGAAGAGACAGCUUUUUAUUUACAUAGUAAUGGGUAGUUUUACAAAUACGUUCUGCCACAUCAGGUUGUUUGAAGAUGAUUAUGAUCCUCAAAUUUAUUCAGACAGCAAUAUUUAUAUUUCUCUUCAACCAGUUCGCUUCCACCAUCUGAUUUUUGUAUCUGCAGGUGACACGGUUACUUUUGAGGAAUAUUUAUCUGUCGUGAUGAAGAAUUAUGUGCAUUUUUACAAUUCUUUAAUAAAACGUAUCGUUAUUCACGGAGGAGGCCGUCUGCAGAAACUGUGGCACUUUCUGUGAUCGUUUUGUAAAAACUGAAGAGAAUCUGCGCCGUUGUAUGGAAGAUGUGCAUGAGUACAAACGCGUUGAAACAACGUGACUGCACCUCGACUGAUUGGCUUUGGGUGAAACGUGUCGGCGCCCUUAGAGAAACGGCAAAAUACCCAAGAGCUUCAUCUCAGACGCUACAGACUCUAAUACGCAUGUUAAAUGUCAAGAACACUAAGAAAGUGUUAACUGAGCCACACAUUGAGAUGUUCUACUAAAGUAUACAACAGUAGUUCGGCAAAAAUGCAAAAAAGAAAAAAACAGUGAUCUUAAAGAUCUCACAGACAAAGUCAUGGUAGGUUUGGCUGGUAAUUUAACUCCAGGAUAAUGUCAGACAUGAAAAGUGUCUAUGAAAUAAACCUUCAUCGUCCUCAAUGGAAAGAAGCGACACAGGAAAGAGGAAAAACCCACAUCUCUCCACAAACGUACAGUUCUUUUUACUAUGACUGCAGGCCAGAUGGGCCAACCAACUUUUAUUCUGAAAAGACUUUCAGAAUAAGUUGGUUAAAUGUUAAACUUUUCUGAAAAGUUUCAGGAAAAAAACUCUUAGUACCCCUGAGCAAGGCUCUAAGAGCAGGUUGCUGCCAGUAUGGAAAGUGAUACUGGUAAAUCCCUGUUGUGGUAUUCUCCACUAUCAAGUUCAGAGGACUCCAAAGCACUUCAUACUGCUUUCAGUCCUUCACUCUCACACUCACUCUCACACUGGUGCAGCAGGUGAGUGAGGCUGCAGCACAAAGCGUUUUGAUUGGUCGUCGCGACCUGCAAAAUGCUUCAUAAGUUCGUUCACCUUAAUAAUGAAGGUGAGUUUAUCUUGGAUAAACUAAAUCUUAGUUUAUCUAAGAUUUACUCCGGGAUGAUGUUUCUGUUUCUGAGCUUCUCUCUGGGUUCUUUUAUUUUUAGGGCUUUAAAGAAUCACAUGUUACUUUAUGGUUUUGGGUAAAAAAAAAGUAUAAUCAUUACUUUAUAUCUGUUUCUCAUUUAAUCCAACUAAAUGUUCCUUUGGUUGAUUUUUUUUUCUCUUUGUUUACUGUUUGACUUUGUUAAACUUCGUUCUUUUAACUUUUUGUUUCAGUCUGAAUCUGCUGUACUGCAAUAAAUUCAUGUAAAUAUUUGAUUUGUGCUGUUAAAAUAAA